GGGUGAAGCAAACACUCAUUUAAACAACAUCAUCCAGCUUAUCUUCAUGAACAUUUUUUUCAGGAAUCAAUCCUGGUGAUCAAUCUUGGUGAUUUCAAAGUAACAGGUUCGCUGAAAAGCUGAAGAUGUCUCUCAAGAUCUUUGUACUGAUGGCUUGCGUUUCGAUCUGUCUUGCAGCUAAGAGAGAACAGGAAAAAGAAGUUCUUCCAGGUGUUUUCUGUCCAGAAUGUAUUGGCUAUGGAGAUACUGCAAUGAAGGCCAAAGAAGAUUGCUUCGCUAAAGCUAUUGUGAAACGGUGCAAGGAAAUCGAUGCAAUAUGUGCAAAAUUCUCUGGAAAGAAUUUUGACGGGAAAAGCAUGGCUCAUCAGUUUUUAUGUCUGAGCUCAAAAGAUUACGACGAAUUGACAGCUUCUUGUAAAGUACAAGGCUGCAUUGCGUCAAAAGUACAACUGCCGAUGGCAAUCAUUCCAGUUAAAAACUAAACCUUCUUUGUCUGUUCAGGUAUUCAUGUUAUUUGAUGAAAGUUUAGGAAAGUUUAUUUGAGAAAAGUUUGGGUCUGAGCUUUAUCGCUAAUGAUCAUAAAACAAUGGAAUUCGUUAAUGGAUAAAUUAAACCGUACUAAUACGGAUGACACACAGCGCUUAGUUGACCCCAGUCCCCUCUCAUUCUCGUGGGGUGGCUUAUAUUCUCGCUGAUUUCAUCUUUUUUUUCAGUAUACACACAGUUUUCUUAUUUGAUUUGCGACUCGUAUUCAAAGUUUUGUAUUAAUUUAUGUAGUAGUGUCUGUGAUGGAGAAGUCACCCUGGAAACAUUUUGGCAGUCAUGCUUUGUGUCAGUACCCAGUCGGUUGCUGCUUUUUUCGUACUGAAUAAAAACGAUCAUCGUGCA
Pocillopora damicornis (cauliflower coral) is the source of this 888-nucleotide long non-coding RNA. The record is from RefSeq and is a predicted model, not a curated record. NCBI's taxonomy places the organism in Eukaryota, Metazoa, Cnidaria, Anthozoa, Scleractinia, Pocilloporidae.